Molecule: transfer RNA, 85 nt
Filed under: Alphaproteobacteria bacterium
Lineage: Bacteria; Pseudomonadati; Pseudomonadota; Alphaproteobacteria
Also listed under: 5 other names
Description: tRNA-Leu
Rfam family: tRNA
About the family: Transfer RNA (tRNA) molecules are approximately 80 nucleotides in length.
Source: RNAcentral
GCGGAUGUGGCGGAAUUGGUAGACGCACCAGAUUUAGGUUCUGGCGCCGAGAGGCGUGGAGGUUCAAGUCCUCUCAUCCGCACCA